UGGGGAAUAUUGCACAAUGGGCGCAAGCCUGAUGCAGCCAUGCCGCGUGUGUGAAGAAGGCCUUCGGGUUGUAAAGCACUUUCAGCGAGGAGGAAGGUGGUGAGCUUAAUACGUUCAUCAAUUGACGUUACUCGCAGAAGAAGCACCGGCUAACUCCGUGCCAGCGGCCGCGGUAAUACGGAGGGUGCAAGCGUUAAUCGGAAUUACUGGGCGUAAAGCGCACGCAGGCGGUUUGUUAAGUCAGAUGUGAAAUCCCCGGGCUCAACCUGGGAACUGCAUUUGAAACUGGCAAGCUAGAGUCUCGUAGAGGGGGGUAGAAUUCCAGGUGUAGCGGUGAAAUGCGUAGAGAUCUGGAGGAAUGCCGGUGGCGAAGGCGGCCCCCUGGACGAAGACUGACGCUCAGGUGCGAAAGCGUGGGGAGCAAACAGGAUUAGAUACCCUGGUAGUCCACGCUGUAAACGAUGUCGAUUUGGAGGUUGUGCCCCUUGAGGCGUGGNUUCCGGAGCUAACGCGUUAAAUCGACCGCCUGGGGAGUACGGCC
Molecule: ribosomal RNA, 541 nt
Filed under: uncultured bacterium
Lineage: Bacteria
Description: partial 16S ribosomal RNA
Rfam family: Bacterial small subunit ribosomal RNA
Source: RNAcentral